RNAcentral lists this long non-coding RNA (427 nucleotides) under Olea europaea subsp. europaea. Lineage: Eukaryota; Viridiplantae; Streptophyta; Magnoliopsida; Lamiales; Oleaceae. The record is from RNAcentral.
AAAAAACCUUUUAACUUUAUUGCAAAUAUUUUAAUCAAAAGCAAGAAAAAUAAAUAUGAGUUAGCCAUCAAAAAACCUUUUAACUUUUUUGCAAAUAUUUUAAUGGUCUCUCUAUCUCUAUCAUCUUAUAACUUUGUAGUAACCCUGAUAGUCCAUCCGAAUUAGGAUUCACAGUAGGUUCAGACAAUACUGCAUUACUACUCUUGCAUAAAGCAGUUGUCUAGUUAACCUUCUGUUACCCCUCCCACGUGCAAAACUCCAUGAUUGCUAGAAAAACAACAAACAAUAGUAACAAGUUAAGCCUUAUUCCAAUAGCUUGGUUAACUAAGAACCAUGUUUGAUCUACCUAUUUCUUAAGCAUGCAAUGAUGAAGAGGUCAACAUCAGUUCAUAUUGGAAAUAAGUUUGUUUCCAUGGUCAUUGAAAAG